This 477-nucleotide ribosomal RNA is filed under the name uncultured bacterium. RNAcentral describes it as "partial 16S ribosomal RNA". It matches the Rfam family "Bacterial small subunit ribosomal RNA", at positions 28 to 507 of the family's 1533-position model. The record is from RNAcentral.
GAUGAACGCUAGCGGCGGGCCUAAUACAUGCAAGUCGAACGGGAAAGGUGGCAACACCUUGAGAGUGGCGUACGGGUGCGUAACGCGUAUACAACCUGCCUGUUACACGGGGAUAGCCUUGCGAAAGCGAGAUUAAUACCCGAUGGUACUAUUGAGCGGCAUCGCUUGGUAGUUAAAGCUGAGGCGGUAACAGAGGGGUAUGCGUCCCAUUAGCUAGUUGGUAGUGUAACGGACUACCAAGGCGACGAUGGGUAGGGGUUCUGAGAGGAUGAUCCCCCACACUGGUACUGAGAUACGGACCAGACUCCUACGGGAGGCAGCAGUAGGGAAUAUUGGGCAAUGGACGGAAGUCUGACCCAGCAACGCCGCGUGCAGGAAGAAGGUCCUCUGGAUUGGAAACUGCUUUUCUUGGGGAAGAAAACCCUUCUGCGGAAGGAAUUGACGGUACUCAAGGAAUAAGCAUCGGCUAACUCCGUG